Molecule: ribosomal RNA, 770 nt
Filed under: uncultured Vibrio sp.
Lineage: Bacteria; Pseudomonadati; Pseudomonadota; Gammaproteobacteria; Vibrionales; Vibrionaceae
Description: bacterial SSU rRNA
Rfam family: Bacterial small subunit ribosomal RNA
Source: RNAcentral
UGCAAGUCGAGCGGAAACGACAACAUUGAAUCUUCGGAGGAUUUGUUGGGCGUCGAGCGGCGGACGGGUGAGUAAUGCCUAGGAAAUUGCCUUGAUGUGGGGGAUAACCAUUGGAAACGAUGGCUAAUACCGCAUAAUGCCUACGGGCCAAAGAGGGGGAUCUUCGGACCUCUCGCGUCAAGAUAUGCCUAGGUGGGAUUAGCUAGUUGGUGAGGUAAUGGCUCACCAAGGCGACGAUCCCUAGCUGGUCUGAGAGGAUGAUCAGCCACACUGGAACUGAGACACGGUCCAGACUCCUACGGGAGGCAGCAGUGGGGAAUAUUGCACAAUGGGCGAAAGCCUGAUGCAGCCAUGCCGCGUGUAUGAAGAAGGCCUUCGGGUUGUAAAGUACUUUCAGUUGUGAGGAAGGGUGUGUAGUUAAUAGCUGCGCAUCUUGACGUUAGCAACAGAAGAAGCACCGGCUAACUCCGUGCCAGCAGCCGCGGUAAUACGGAGGGUGCGAGCGUUAAUCGGAAUUACUGGGCGUAAAGCGCAUGCAGGUGGUUCAUUAAGUCAGAUGUGAAAGCCCGGGGCUCAACCUCGGAACUGCAUUUGAAACUGGUGAACUAGAGUGCUGUAGAGGGGGGUAGAAUUUCAGGUGUAGCGGUGAAAUGCGUAGAGAUCUGAAGGAAUACCAGUGGCGAAGGCGGCCCCCUGGACAGACACUGACACUCAGAUGCGUGCAAGUCGAUGCAAGUCGAUGCAAGUCGAUGCAAGUCGAUGCAAGUCGA